AUACACCCGCGGGUCGGAAUCGAUUACAGCGCAUUGCACCUUAUGCGCAGCGCUGCAUUAUUAUGCGCUGUAAUCGAUUCCGACCCGCGGGUGUAAC
RNAcentral lists this microRNA precursor (97 nucleotides) under Anopheles coluzzii. RNAcentral's name for it is "mir-92 microRNA precursor family". Lineage: Eukaryota; Metazoa; Arthropoda; Insecta; Diptera; Culicidae. The record is from RNAcentral.